RNAcentral lists this ribosomal RNA (460 nucleotides) under uncultured bacterium. Its description in RNAcentral is "partial 16S ribosomal RNA". It matches the Rfam family "Bacterial small subunit ribosomal RNA", at positions 338 to 795 of the family's 1533-position model. The record is from RNAcentral.
CCUACGGGUGGCAGCAGGGAGGAAGAGUGGGCAAUGGGCGCGAGCCUGAACCAGCCAAGUAGCGGGAAGGAUGACGGCCCUACGGGUUGUAAACUUCUGUUAUAAAGGAAUAAAGUGAGGCACGUGUGCCUUUUUGUAUGUACUUUAUGAAUAAGGAUCGGCUAACUCCGUGCCAGCAGCCGCGGUAAUACGGAGGAUCCGAGCGUUAUCCGGAUUUACUGGGUGUAAAGGGCGUGCAGCCGGGAAGACAAGUCAGAUGUGAAAUCCCGCGGCUCACCCGCGGAACUGCAUUUGAAACUGUUUUUCUUGAGUACCGGAGAGGUCAUCGUAAUUCCUUGUGUAGCGGUGAAAUGCGUAGAUAUAAGGAAGAACACCAGUGGCGAAGGCGGCUGACUGGACGGCAACUGACGGUGAGGCGCGAAAGCGUGGGGAGCAAACAGGAUUAGCUACCCUUGUAGUC